Molecule: long non-coding RNA, 956 nt
Organism: Leptopilina boulardi
Lineage: Eukaryota; Metazoa; Arthropoda; Insecta; Hymenoptera; Figitidae
Exons: 3
Source: RefSeq, a predicted model, not a curated record
UUAUCUAUGAAGUAGUUAUUUACAUACUUCACACUCUUUCAAAAUGAAAUAACCAAAAAAAAAUUUUUUUUUUUUUUUAACAAACAAAUUCUGGUAAUGAAACAAUUUUUUCUUAAUAGACUGACUUCGAAUAUUUUUUUAAAAUUGGGAAUAACAUUUUUUAAAAAUAAACACUGUGUCAAAAGGUCUGGUGAAUGUUUUAAACAAAAUUUUACUGAACUGUCGAGAACAUCUUUUUUUCGAACUAUUGUACUUUUACCAAACAUAACAAAUUCUCAAAAUCAAUUUUCAAAGGAUAAAAAUAAUAAUUACCAAUGCUUUUUUAAUUUGGCAUUAAAUUUUAUAUUUAUAUCAUUAACAAUUAUUUUUAUUAUCACUGUGAUUUUUGGAUUAAUUACAUUGUAUUUCAUUACUCGAGUUCUUGGAAUUAGUAAAGUAUUUCCUUCUGUUUUUUUAAAAGUAAUUGAAAUUUUAGAACCAACUUUUAUUAAAUUCGGACAAUGGCUAUCAAUUCAAAGAGACAUUUUCUCCAAGGAAUUGUGUUUGAAAUUCGCAAAACUUGAAAAAUACACUACCUCAUAUUUUUGGAUUUAUACAAGACACUUAUUGGAAGCGACAUAUGGACCAAAUUGGAAGGAAUUUUUGAUUAAAUUCGAUAGUACAACUUCCAUUGGUUCUGGAAAUUAUGCUCAGAUUUACAAAGCUUGGAUCAAUAGAAAGGCUGCAAUUAAUGAAAAACCCGAGUCAAAUAUGUCGAGUGUAAUUGAAAGAAAGAUAAAAAUUUUUGAAUCUACUAUCAAUUUUAUAAAAAUUUUAUUUGUUACAUUUCCACAGUGGUUUAGUUUCUAAAUUUCAAACAAAUUUUUUAUUUUUGGCGUGAACUAUCAAAUUUCUAAACCACAAAAAAAAUUCUUUUGCCGAAAUUGCACAUUUUUUUGACAACUCUUUGAAAUGUA